Molecule: ribosomal RNA, 465 nt
Filed under: Vreelandella stevensii
Lineage: Bacteria; Pseudomonadati; Pseudomonadota; Gammaproteobacteria; Oceanospirillales; Halomonadaceae
Description: partial 16S ribosomal RNA
Rfam family: Bacterial small subunit ribosomal RNA
Source: RNAcentral
CCUACGGGAGGCUGCAGUGGGGAAUAUUGGACAAUGGGCGAAAGCCUGAUCCAGCCAUGCCGCGUGUGUGAAGAAGGCCUUCGGGUUGUAAAGCACUUUCAGUGGGGAAGAAAGCCUUGGGGCUAAUACCCUCGAGGAAGGACAUCACCCACAGAAGAAGCACCGGCUAACUCCGUGCCAGCAGCCGCGGUAAUACGGAGGGUGCGAGCGUUAAUCGGAAUUACUGGGCGUAAAGCGCGCGUAGGCGGUCUGAUAAGCCGGUUGUGAAAGCCCCGGGCUCAACCUGGGAACGGCAUCCGGAACUGUCAGGCUAGAGUGCAGGAGAGGAAGGUAGAAUUCCCGGUGUAGCGGUGAAAUGCGUAGAGAUCGGGAGGAAUACCAGAGGCGAAGGCGGCCUUCUGGACUGACACUGACGCUGAGGUGCGAAAGCGUGGGUAGCAAACAGGAUUAGAUACCCGGGUAGUC